AUGGGCUUGCUGAGGGACCCUCCAAACCACUAUAUGUGUGUUCCUGCUGGAAUAAGUAAUCUGUAACUUUAGGUAUAUGGGAAUACUUGAUGUGCUGCAUAGAUCAGCUCAUGGAAUGUCAGUUAAAACCUCCCAACAGUGUUUAUCCAUCUUGUCAGCUUCCACCCCAGGUGAAAAAAAUAUAAUAAAUUCUGCCAACUACAGUCUUUUAUUGAGAGGAGUUUUAUGUUAAUUUGUGGUGAACAUUGUCCUUUCAGUUUCCACUGUGUUUUUCUCAUAUUCAUAGUUUUUCAAAUAUUCUAGAAGUUUUACUACCUUGGUAGCCGAAUUAUGGAUAAUUCAUUGCACUAUUUUUAGUGGUUUCUUUGCCCUCAAUGUGUAUACAAAAAUGAAUCUAUGGAGAUGUAUGGGUAUGCAUGAGAACUAUUAUUAUCUUUUAAGUGCCAGCAGCAGUGCUUUUCUCAUGGUCCAUUAAGGAAUUCAUAUCCUGACAACUUCACCUGAAAUGCUGAAGUCACAUACCAGAGUGAUGAGGAUCAAAAACCCUACAGAGGCAGGAAGAUGGAUGUCCUAUAAGGGGGUGAUGGUUUACUGACUAUGAAUGCUUUCAAAGACCUGCUUAAACAAAAGCUGUGAACCUAAAUCAGUUUGCCCUAUUAGAAGCUGGAGUGGCUCUGUGUUACUUUAAGAAGACUGUGAGAUGUAAUCACUGCAGGAGGUGAUUUUCCUUUGGUAGCUUCUGCCCCUUGGAGCUGCUGAGCUUGCUCAAAAGGCACAAGCUUCUAGACAUGGCUGUGUGUGGCAGACCAAGGCAGUACCAGAAAGAAAAAGGAAGCCUGAGGAUCAUUCAGAGACAUGGUGUGAUGUCCAGACCUCACAGGUGUUGGACAAGGACUUCCUGAAAAUCACACAGGACUGAACAGUGUUUGCUGCAAAUCAAGGACAAGUAAAAUCACACUUGGAAGAAGGGCUCUGCCUGCCAGAAAACAGCCAUUUGCUCAUGUUUUUAAUGUCCAUCUGUCCUGGUUUCAGUUAGGACAGAGUUAAUUUUCUUCCUAGUAGCUGGAAGGGUGCUAUGUUUUGGUUUAGGAUGAGAGGAGUGCUGAUGUUUUAAAACAUGCUGAUGUUUUAA
Long non-coding RNA from Anas platyrhynchos (mallard), 1132 nucleotides. RefSeq lists it as uncharacterized. The record is from RefSeq and is a predicted model, not a curated record. Lineage: Eukaryota; Metazoa; Chordata; Aves; Anseriformes; Anatidae.